RNAcentral lists this ribosomal RNA (468 nucleotides) under uncultured bacterium. RNAcentral's name for it is "partial 16S ribosomal RNA". It matches the Rfam family "Bacterial small subunit ribosomal RNA", at positions 28 to 507 of the family's 1533-position model. The record is from RNAcentral.
GACGAACGCUGGCGGCGUGCUUAACACAUGCAAGUCGAACGGAAAGGCCCUGCUUUUGUGGGGUGCUCGAGUGGCGAACGGGUGAGUAACACGUGAGUAACCUGCCCUUGACUUUGGGAUAACUCCAGGAAACUGGGGCUAAUACCGGAUAGGAGCUCCUGCUGCAUGGUGGGGGUUGGAAAGUUUCGGCGGUUGGGGAUGGACUCGCGGCUUAUCAGCUUGUUGGUGGGGUAGUGGCUUACCAAGGCAUUGACGGGUAGCCGGCCUGAGAGGGUGACCGGCCACAUUGGGACUGAGAUACGGCCCAGACUCCUACGGGGGGCAGCAGUGGGGAAUAUUGCACAAUGGGCGGAAGCCUGAUGCAGCAACGCCGCGUGCGGGAUGACGGCCUUCGGGUUGUGAACCGCUUUCGCCUGUGACGAAGCGUGAGUGACGGUAAUGGGUAAAGAAGCACCGGCUAACUACGUG